RNAcentral lists this long non-coding RNA (548 nucleotides) under Sus scrofa (pig). Its description in RNAcentral is "lncRNA (ENSSSCG00070003903.1)". The record is from RNAcentral. Lineage: Eukaryota; Metazoa; Chordata; Mammalia; Artiodactyla; Suidae.
UUGUCGCCCUCACCCAGCUGCUGUGGCGGAGAAACGGAGGCCAGCGCGGGGAGCGGAAGCCGGAGCCUGUCGGGAGCGACCCCGGGAAGGCCAGUCCCUCCUGCCGGAGGGAGGCGUGUUGGCGUGCGGCCGGUGGCGGGAUCGAUGGCCACCUGGUAGGCGAUGCUGCUGUGGCGGAGAAACGGAGGCCAGCGCGGGGAGCGGAAGCCGGAGCCUGUCGGGAGCGACCCCGGGAAGGCCAGUCCCUCCUGCCGGAGGGAGGCGUGUUGGCGUGCGGCCGGUGGCGGGAUCGAUGGCCACCUGGUAGGCGAUGGUAAGCGGCAGUGGCCUGCGCCAACGUAGCCCCGGGGGCGCCGUGUGUGGCGCCCGGACCCGCACCCUCUGCUCCCGGGGGUGGAGCUGACCUGCUUGCCCGCGGUUGGGCUCGGGAGCCUGCGGGCCGCGGCCAGGAGGGAGCUGGCUGGCCGUCCCGGCGGUGGGGGCUGUGGCGGUGGCCGUCCCGCGGGUGUGCCCGUGCUCGGAUCGAUGAUGACACCCACAAACGCAUU